This 218-nucleotide unclassified non-coding RNA is filed under the name Ascomycota sp. RNAcentral's name for it is "partial contains small subunit ribosomal RNA, internal transcribed spacer 1, and 5.8S ribosomal RNA". The stretch from base 1 to 47 matches the Rfam family "Eukaryotic small subunit ribosomal RNA", at positions 1785 to 1831 of the family's 1831-position model. Lineage: Eukaryota; Fungi; Ascomycota. The record is from RNAcentral.
AAAGUCGUAACAAGGUCUCCGUUGGUGAACCAGCGGAGGGAUCAUUACCGAGUACUAUAACUCAUAACCCUUUGUGAACCUUUAUACCUGUUGCUUCGGCGGCGCGUCCUCCGGGGCGUGCCCGCCGGUAUCAUCAGAAUCUCUGUUUGAACCCGACGAUACAUCUGAGUGUUCUAAGCGAACUGUUAAAACUUUCAACAACGGAUCUCUUGGCUCCA